GACGAACGCUGGUGGCGUGCUUAACACAUGCAAGUCGAACGGGAUUUAGUAAACAGCAGCCUCGGUGGAAGAUUACUAAUGAGAGUGGCGAACGGGGGAGUAACGCGUGAGCAACCUGCCUAUGACAGUGGGAUAGCCUCGGGAAACCGGGAUUAAUACCGCAUAAAAUCGUAGAAACACAUGUUUUAACGGUCAAAGAUUUAUCGGUCAUAGAUGGGCUCGCGUCUGAUUAGCUAGUUGGUGAGAUAACAGCCCACCAAGGCGACGAUCAGUAGCCGGUCUGAGAGGAUGAACGGCCACAUUGGAACUGGGACACGGUCCAAACUCCUACGGGAGGCAGCAGUGGGGGAUAUUGCACAAUGGGGGAAACCCUGAUGCAGCGACGCCGCGUGAACGAAGAAGGUAUUCGUAUCGUAAAGUUCUGUCCUAUGGGAAGAUAAUGACAGUACCAUAGAAGAAAGCUCCGGCUAAAUACGUG
Molecule: ribosomal RNA, 478 nt
Filed under: uncultured bacterium
Lineage: Bacteria
Description: partial 16S ribosomal RNA
Rfam family: Bacterial small subunit ribosomal RNA
Source: RNAcentral